Molecule: ribosomal RNA, 1371 nt
Filed under: Oenococcus oeni
Lineage: Bacteria; Bacillati; Bacillota; Bacilli; Lactobacillales; Lactobacillaceae
Description: bacterial LSU rRNA
Rfam family: Bacterial large subunit ribosomal RNA
Source: RNAcentral
CUCUAAUCAGGAUCCUGAGUACGGCCCAGCACGUGAAAUUGGGUCGGAAUCUGGGAGGACCAUCUCCCAAGGCUAAAUACUAACUAGUGACCGAUAGCGAACAAGUACCGUGAGGGAAAGGUGAAAAGAACCCCGGAAGGGGAGUGAAAUAGUUCUUGAAACCGUGUGCUUACAAGAAGUUCGAGGCCGUUAAUGGCUGAGAGCGUGCUUUUUGUAGAAUGAACCGGAGAGUUACGAUUGCGUGCAAGGUUAAGGUGCAAAGACUGGAGCCGUAGCGAAAGCGAGUCUUAAUAGGGCGAAUCAGUACGUAGUUGUAGACCCGAAACCGAGUGACCUAUCCAUGGUCAGGUUGAAGGUGGGGUAAUACCUACUGGAGGACCGAACAAGUGGGUGUUAAAAAACCCUUUGAUGAACUGUGGAUAGCGGUGAAAUUCCAAUCGAACUCGGAGAUAGCUGGUUCUAUCCGAAAUACAUUUAGGUGUAGCCUUGCAAUUAGCUUACUGGAGGUAGAGCACUAUUUGGUCUAGGGGCCCUUCAAGGGUUACCAAAAUCAGAUAAACUCCGAAUGCCAGCUAAGUAUGUGCAGGAGUCAGACGGUGAGUGAUAAGAUCCAUCGUCAAAAGGGGAACAGCCCAGAUCACCAGUUAAGGUCCCUAAAUAUAUGCUAAGUGGAAAACGUUGUGAAGGUGCAUAGACAACUAGGAGGUUGGCUCAGAAGCAGCCACCCUUUAAAGAGUGCGUAAUAGCUCACUAGUCGAGUGCUCUUGCGCGGAUAAUGUACCGGGGCUAAGCAUAUUACCGAAACUGUGGAUGCGUAAGCAUGGUAGGAUAGCGUAAUUAACGCGAUGAAGGAUGACCGUAAGGACAUGUUGGAGCGUUAACUAGUGAGAAUUCCGGUAUGAGUAGCGAAAGAUAGGUGAGAAUCCUAUCCACCGAAUGAGUAAGGUUUCCCCCGGAAGGCUCGUCCGCGGGGGGUUAGUCGGGACCUAAGGCGAGGCUGAAAAGCGUAGUCGAUGGACAACAGGUUGAUAUUCCUGUACCGAUAUUUAAUUGCCGAAGGAAGGACGCAGAAGGAUAACACAGGCCACUAUUGGAUGUGGUUUUAAACAGUUAGUCUUCAUAAGAGUCAAAUGCUUUUAUGUUUAAGGAUAAGCUGUGAAUGUACCAAGUUUACUUGGAAAUUGUGUGAUUUCACGCUGCUGAAAAAAGUUUCGUAGGAAGAAAAUAUUGCCCGUACCGCAAACCGACACAGGUACUCAAGUGGAGAACACUAAGGUGAGCGAGUGAACUAUUGUUAAGGAACUCUGCAAAAUGAGUCCGUAACUUCGGAAGAAGGACUGCUGGUUUUAUACCAGCCGCAGCAAAUAGGCC